AGCGGGCGUGAGUAAGUCCUGGUGGAAUGUGGAUCUCUACAUGGGGCAGCAACAGAAGACUGAGAUCAGAAUAUUAGGUAAGUAUUUUCAGACAGCAAAUGCAAUUUAAGCUAUGGAAGUUCUUGCCUAAGGUGGACCAUGACAGGGUAAACACUAGCCCACAUGUUGUAGGAUAGAGAGUAACUGACCCCAUCAGAUAAAAUGAGAGAAAUGUAGUUAACAAAUAAUUCAAAGUCCCAUGGGUAACUGAAUGAAAUAGGUUUUACAUUUGUUUCUAGGAUGUUUACAAUAUAAAAUGCUAUGCCCUCCAGAGAAAAAUUCAAGAGAAUGAUAGAUUUCUUCCCAGGUAAGAAAAAUAAUUUAAUCCUGGACCCAACUGUUGUAUCCAGACAGAUACUACUUGAAGGUAGAGUACUGGCCCAUGUACUACAUCCUUGGACAGUAGGUUUUUAGUGCUCAGCAGAUACCGUACAUCCUGACCCUAUGGGAAGGGUGAUACUUGUUGCCUUUGUAUUGUUUGAGACAAGGUCUUAUGUAACCCAAGCAAGCCUGGAGCACGCACCUCACCUCCACCUCUGGGUAAUGGAAUCACACAUCACUAGAUUCUGAUACUGGACUUUUCAUGAUGGUAUCAUUUACUCUCCAAAUCUCUAAGACAUUAAGUGCUAUCAGGAAAGGCAGUUCAAAAUGGACAAAGUUCAUGUCUCUAGUGAAUAUUAGAAAAGUCUGGUGAUUAAUUUCCUCACUCACUACCAUGGCAGGCACCUUUCUUAUUAAUGUCCUCUAACAUUGUAAAUAGAGAAUAAAAAUGGACAUGGUUUCCCCAGGCAAUACCACCGUAAGGUCUGCCACACACUGGUUCUUUGCGCCCUCUAUGCCCUUCUAGGAUUAAGUACAAACAGCUGUCAAGAGAACUUCUGAGUUUCUAACCAAAACCCAGCUGUAGCUUUCUGCUGGGUCCUUGCACCUACCCCACUAGGAAUGUCUACAGGUUCAUCUUCAACACUAAAGCAUGAGGCAGUGAAGUAGCCAUCUAUGAUGAGCCCUCCUAGGCAUGAGGUAGAUAUUGCUGGCAGCUUCCUUAGAGAUGCUGCCAGACAAGGUCUGGUCUGUGACAGAGCCACCACUUGAAAGCUGCACCACACAGACAACAUAUAGAAAAUUAGGCCAGAAGUGACUUCCAGCUUGGGGGGUCACCUCCAUUACAUCAUAUCAGGCUGAGAAAUGACGGACUCUAAGUGGGAGGAUGCUGAAAUGCUGAUCUCUGACCUGGAUCUGCUGCUGAAGCAAGUUGAUUUUGUGUUGUUGCUGCAGAAGCUGCUGCUGCUGCCUCGCGAUCUGUGGAGAAAGAGAGAACACUGACAACACAGGGUAGGGAAGACCAACCUGCUGCCCACCGCAGUCGGAUCUGACACCAGCUGAAAGAUGGAAGCACUGCCCUUCCAUGAGCUGAGUUGUCAGCAUGUCGUCCUUAAGGAGGAUCAAGAGAGACAUUCAGUCUCGGCAACCACUUACACCUUGUUUAAAGCCUAAAUGGUGCCUCGUCUCAAAUGUGUCUUCCAUACCCUUUCAAUCCAAUUAGAAGUCCACCCU
RNAcentral lists this long non-coding RNA (1593 nucleotides) under Mus pahari (shrew mouse). Its description in RNAcentral is "lncRNA (MGP_PahariEiJ_G0003029.1)". Lineage: Eukaryota; Metazoa; Chordata; Mammalia; Rodentia; Muridae. The record is from RNAcentral.